Long non-coding RNA from Syngnathus typhle (broad-nosed pipefish), 2774 nucleotides. RefSeq lists it as uncharacterized. Lineage: Eukaryota; Metazoa; Chordata; Actinopteri; Syngnathiformes; Syngnathidae. The transcript is spliced from 2 exons. The record is from RefSeq and is a predicted model, not a curated record.
UCUACGUUUUUGGCACGAUUCGAACCACGACAAGCCGACAAAUGUCACAUGACAAGCGUUGCCGUGGUAAUCUCCAUUUUGUGACUUUUGUACUGCCGCACAUUCUUGCUUAAUGACUGCCGGCUAACUUUCCCGUCGAUGUAAACACACCAACUUCACCUGGAGAAAACACACACAUGUAUGAAAACACACACAAACACACACACUUGCUCUCAAGCGUUAUCCGUUUCAAGGCCGAACCGGCCGUAAAUCUGCACUGACAGGACACACACACACACACAGACACACUCACACACAUACGUGUAUGUUUUUUUUUUCUAAAAAUCGACUUGCUGCCUUUUGUCCGUUUUAAAAAAAACAUUUUAAUUUUCAUGGACUUAUUAAAAACCAGGACAUCAUUUCAAAUUGGCAGUGUAGAAAAUGCGCAAAUGCGAAUGAAUUACGUUUGGGGCGUAAUGUCCAAAAAUGUCGAUUAUCGUUUUUAACGGGGAUUCUACACGAUUAAUCCACGUACCAAAGAUUUCAAUUGUGACGAUAAUCGAUUAGUUUUCCAUCAGUUGAUUAAUUGGGUGCACCUCUAGUUUGGAUGGAGCAAUACAUCGCUAUCAUGCCGAUAUCGUUUUUGGAUUAUCAUCUCGGAUCAUCUUCAUGCUGCUCAGGGGAAAAAUCUUUCUUUCACUUUCUGCACGGCGAAGUCUUCUAAACAUCUCCCAAGCAGCAUGUAAAAAUAUCUCCACACUUUUUAUGUGUCUGUUAACUGGCUGGGUGGGCGCUUUGAUUGACAGCUCUGGCCGAUUGCUCUCUUCCUCUUUGUUUUUUUCCUCUCGGGCUUCCACUUUUUAUUUCCGACAUUUUGUCGACUGGAAAAACAACGAGCCGGCGCAACAGUUGCCGCGGGACAAACGCCGUUAGCGUCCCGCCACGCAAAACUCACACGACCGGGUGGGCUGACGGCUCGGGUCAUCACGACCCAAACUGUUUUAUUGCGUGUAAACAAUCCCACGUGUCAGCAAGAAAUGGAAAAAGUUUUUUAUUGUCUGGCUGUUAUCAUUUUGUAUCAUUUUCAGCUUCCCGUCAACUAUUUUCGUACUCUUUAGCAUAUUUAAACCCUUGCUGCGUAAAUAUUUGUAUACCGGCCCCAUCUGAUGUAAACUGUGCGUUGGCGCCGUAAACGGAACUUGAAGUGGGCUUUUAUUUUGCUGGGAGAUGCGUGGGAGGUUUAUUUUGAAAUGCUCCUCCGAUGAACGCUAAAUAUUUGCGUCAUCGCGCUCGUUGUCGUCGUCUUCGACUUUCCCUCUGUUGCCACCGCCGCCGCCGCCCGGCCAGGCCCUCAAAGGGCCGGCGUGUCAAUCUUCAGACGGCCGCGCCGCUCUCCUUAUGGGCCGACAACUGCGCUCGGGAUCGCACGGCCCGCAUUCUCGGCAUUGUGGAGAUGUUAAAGAUCUUCCGUGUGCAGGAAGCGAAAGACAAGUGAGAGGCGUUACGUUUCACACCUGCAGGUGUCCAGUUUGAAUUUUUCAUGACGGCCUGCUGGAGCGACAACCGCAACGCAAUGUCAGGCCAUCGGCCAAUCAGAACACACCAUGAACUCUAAGCUUUUUUGAAUGGGUUUAAAUAUUGACUGCAUAUGUUCAUUGUAACACAUUGACCUGCAUCCACACACACACACACUUGUCAUUUUUUCUGUCUGUUACCGAUGGUGCUGAUACUCUCUCCCUCUCUGGGUCACAGAUAAAAGGCUUCAGGUAACCUAAGGACCUAAAGACACACACACACAUACGCAUACACACACGCACACAGUUCUCGUUAAAGAGUAUCUUUGUCAUGACACUGACUUGUAUCUCAUGUGAAAUGGCUGAGUGAAGACUGAGCCAUGUUACACUUUGAAGUCACACACACACACACACGCAAGUGCGUCUGCCGAUGAAGAAAGUACGUCAGCAUUACAACGUGAAAGGAGAAGUGUGUGUGUGUGUGCAUGUUUAGUGUUGGUGUGUCGGGACGGCUCCAAUGCAUUUCCAUGGAGACCAGUGAGUGAAAAAAACUCCCAGAUUUAAUCAUAAUCAUUGCUGCAAUGACACAAAUGAAGUUGAAAAAUGUUACGUGAUGACGCAAUGGUCAAAUGUUGCACUUUCGUAGCUCAAAAGCAAAACAUGAAGUUUAAUGAUAAAGAAACACAAUAUAUGUGACUAAAUAUGCAUUGUUGUAAUUAUUUGUACCCAGAAUCACCUUUACUUUCUUUUUUUUUGCACUUUUUUUUUUUAAACAAGUCAUUGCAAUGCAUAUCCGGAGUUGCCUUUAUAUUGAUGUUAAAUUUUUCAGUCGAAAUCGAAUAGAAAUGAUCAUCCACAAAGCAAUGAAGUUGCUUUUAUUAUUUUAUUUAUUGUUAUGUCAUUGUCUGGAAUAUUUGUUUUUCUGAUACGUCUCCAGGAUACCUUAACUAAAGUUCAAACAUUGCAAAUGUUAAUGCGUCUGCUCGUGCAAUCUAUUUUGAGCAAGUGAAAGAUCCAAAGGACUUCUAAUUUUUUUUUUCACGUCUGCUGCUAUUCAUAACUUUCUUUUAUUGCCUUGACCGUUUUGCUCUAAUUAUCUCACUUCCUCGCCCUCAUGUCGCCACGCUGACAUUUGAGUGUGUGUGAGCUGACGCGUUUACUGGCGCCCCAAAAUGUCCCACUUUGUUUUUCCUGCUUAGUCAGCAUUGAAAGGCACAACACAUCACUUCUCUCUGUUAUUUCAAUAAUAUAACAUAGGAAUAAAGAAAUAGAUGGACACAA